UACGUAGGGGGCGAGCGUUGUCCGGAUUUAUUGGGCGUAAAGAGCGUGUAGGCGGCCAGGUAGGUCCGUUGUGAAAACUCGAGGCUCAACCUCGAGACGUCGAUGGAAACCAUCUGGCUAGAGUCCGGAAGAGGAGAGUGGAAUUCCUGGUGUAGCGGUGAAAUGCGCAGAUAUCAGGAAGAACACCUAUGGCGAAGGCAGCUCUCUGGGACGGUACUGACGCUGAGACGCGAAAGCGUGGGGAGCGAACGGG
This 253-nucleotide ribosomal RNA is filed under the name uncultured bacterium. RNAcentral describes it as "partial 16S ribosomal RNA". It matches the Rfam family "Bacterial small subunit ribosomal RNA", at positions 524 to 776 of the family's 1533-position model. The record is from RNAcentral.